Molecule: long non-coding RNA, 331 nt
Filed under: Citrus maxima (pomelo)
Lineage: Eukaryota; Viridiplantae; Streptophyta; Magnoliopsida; Sapindales; Rutaceae
Description: long non-coding RNA (CMAX_LNC000883)
Source: RNAcentral
AACGCAAAAAUGAAAAUUUGAUACAUAUUUAAUUGUACACUGAUUUGGACACAGUUGCAACAGCUCUACACACGCCACUGCAAUGUGAGCUCAAAUGGUUGUAACAACAUGAAGCCAUGUCAGGUUGCAGGAAAGCAGCAACACAUCCUUAUUAUUAUUGUUCUUAUAGCAUCGAAUUGCAUUCUCUCUUCAGGUAUGCUUUGCUGAGAAGGAUGCUGACGAACCGUGGUUAGACCAGACCAAAACUCUCCAAAAGGGUCUUUGCCGCCGCUUAGGAUUGUGAUUUAUCAUCUCCGAUUCUGAUCUACUCAGCAUUUCCCACAUCACCUGA